GCUUCUUGCUAAUUGUGGGGAGGUGAAAACUUUUUCUCAUAUGCUUUUUUUAAAUGGACUAUUGAGCUAGCUUCUUAUGCUGGUCCAGUUUGCUAUCUCCAGUCCAUACAAUAUCUAGGUGUGAUAUACAGGAUUUGAUGUUUCUAGGGUUACAUUCUUGAUCUUCUUUGGUGAUUGAAUGUGCUUAGAUUUGUGAAAAGUCAAUGAAUUGUUGGUGUUAUAAUAAUAACUCUAAUACUGUAAGGUACUUAAAG
Molecule: unclassified non-coding RNA, 254 nt
Filed under: Hevea brasiliensis (rubber tree)
Lineage: Eukaryota; Viridiplantae; Streptophyta; Magnoliopsida; Malpighiales; Euphorbiaceae
Source: RNAcentral